This 1018-nucleotide ribosomal RNA is filed under the name Pseudarthrobacter siccitolerans. RNAcentral's name for it is "bacterial SSU rRNA". It matches the Rfam family "Bacterial small subunit ribosomal RNA", at positions 426 to 1452 of the family's 1533-position model. Lineage: Bacteria; Bacillati; Actinomycetota; Actinomycetes; Micrococcales; Micrococcaceae. The record is from RNAcentral.
UAAACUCUUCAGUAGGGAAGAAGCGAAAGUGACGGUACUGCAGAAGAAGCGCCGGGCUAACUACGUGCCAGCAGCCGCGGUAAUACGUAGGGCGCAAGCGUUAUCGGGAAUUAUUGGGCGUAAAGAGCUCGUAGGCGGUUUGUCGCGUCUGCCGUGAAAGUCCGGGGCUCAACUCCGGGAUCUGCGGUGGGUACGGGCAGACUAGAGUGAUGUAGGGGAGACUGGAAUUCCUGGUGUAGCGGUGAAAUGCGCAGAUAUCAGGAGGAACACCGAUGGCGAAGGCAGGUCUCUGGGCAUUAACUGACGCUGAGGAGCGAAAGCAUGGGGAGCGAACAGGAUUAGAUACCCUGGUAGUCCAUGCCGUAAACGUUGGGCACUAGGUGUGGGGGACAUUCCACGUUUUCCGCGCCGUAGCUAACGCAUUAAGUGCCCCGCCUGGGGAGUACGGCCGCAAGGCUAAAACUCAAAGGAAUUGACGGGGGCCCGCACAAGCGGCGGAGCAUGCGGAUUAAUUCGAUGCAACGCGAAGAACCUUACCAAGGCUUGACAUGAACCGGAAAGACCUGGAAACAGGUGCCCCGCUUGCGGUCGGUUUACAGGUGGUGCAUGGUUGUCGUCAGCUCGUGUCGUGAGAUGUUGGGUUAAGUCCCGCAACGAGCGCAACCCUCGUUCUAUGUUGCCAGCACGUGAUGGUGGGGACUCAUAGGAGACUGCCGGGGUCAACUCGGAGGAAGGUGGGGACGACGUCAAAUCAUCAUGCCCCUUAUGUCUUGGGCUUCACGCAUGCUACAAUGGCCGGUACAAAGGGUUGCGAUACUGUGAGGUGGAGCUAAUCCCAAAAAGCCGGUCUCAGUUCGGAUUGGGGUCUGCAACUCGACCCCAUGAAGUCGGAGUCGCUAGUAAUCGCAGAUCAGCAACGCUGCGGUGAAUACGUUCCCGGGCCUUGUACACACCGCCCGUCAAGUCACGAAAGUUGGUAACACCCGAAGCUCGGUGGCCUAACCCCUUGUGGAUGGAG